ACUUUGUAGCUCAUUUGGUAGAGCAGUCGAUAACUUAUCGAUUGGUAGCAGGUUCGAUUCCUGCCAAAGUCC
This 72-nucleotide transfer RNA is filed under the name Microbulbifer sp. VAAF005. RNAcentral's name for it is "tRNA-Ser". It matches the Rfam family "tRNA". From Rfam's summary of the family: Transfer RNA (tRNA) molecules are approximately 80 nucleotides in length. Their secondary structure includes four short double-helical elements and three loops (D, anti-codon, and T loops). Lineage: Bacteria; Pseudomonadati; Pseudomonadota; Gammaproteobacteria; Cellvibrionales; Microbulbiferaceae. The record is from RNAcentral.